RNAcentral lists this ribosomal RNA (658 nucleotides) under Leucodecton sp. RL-2012a. Its description in RNAcentral is "SSU rRNA". It matches the Rfam family "Bacterial small subunit ribosomal RNA", at positions 434 to 1158 of the family's 1533-position model. The record is from RNAcentral. Lineage: Eukaryota; Fungi; Ascomycota; Lecanoromycetes; Ostropales; Graphidaceae.
UUAACAGAGUUAAAUAAAGUUCUAAGUAGAUAUUGAUUAUGACAGUAUUUGCUGAUGUCUUGACCAAGUCACGUGCCAGCAGUCGCGGUAAUACGUGGAAGAUUAGUGUUAUUCAUAUUUAAAAGGUUUAAAGGGUACCUAGACGGUUAAUUAAACAAAAAGAUAUAUGUAUUAAUAAACUAGAGUUUAAUGUAAGAAAGAUAGAGUACGGUGAGUGUAAAGAUAAAAUUUUAUGAUACCACUAAGGAACUGGUAAGGCGAAGGCAACUUUCUAUGUAAAAACUGACGUUAAGGGACGAAGGCACGGUAAAGAAAAUAGGAUUAGAGACCCUAGUAUUGCGAGCAGUAAAUGAUGAGUGUCAUAUACAAGAAAAUUUUUUGUGUAUAAAUGAAAGUGUAAGCACUCCACCUCAAGAGUAACGUGGCAACACGGGAACUGAAAUCAUUAGACCGUUUCUGAAACUCGUAGUGAAGUAUGUUGUUUAAUUUGAUGAUCCACAAAUAACCUUACCACACUAUGAAUUACAUCCAGUUUAACAUGCUGAUUGAUGUAACAAGCGUUGCACGGCUGUCUCCAGUUAAUGUUGUGAAACUGUGGUUAGAUCCAUUAAAUUGACGUAAACCCUCUCUCUACUUAUUGUAGAGUGGUUCGCCGCUA